RNAcentral lists this ribosomal RNA (163 nucleotides) under Clonostachys rosea. Its description in RNAcentral is "partial small subunit ribosomal RNA". It matches the Rfam family "Eukaryotic small subunit ribosomal RNA", at positions 1639 to 1799 of the family's 1831-position model. The record is from RNAcentral. Lineage: Eukaryota; Fungi; Ascomycota; Sordariomycetes; Hypocreales; Bionectriaceae.
CGUUGAUUACGUCCCUGCCCUUUGUACACACCGCCCGUCGCUACUACCGAUUGAAUGGCUCAGUGAGGCGUCCGGACUGGCCCAGAGAGGAGGGAAACCACCGCUCAGGGCCGGAAAGCUCUCCAAACUCGGUCAUUUAGAGGAAGUAAAAGUCGUAACAAGG